GAUGAACGCUGGCGGCGUGCCUAAUACAUGCAAGUCGAGCGAACAGACGAGGAGCUUGCUCCUCUGACGUUAGCGGCGGACGGGUGAGUAACACGUGGAUAACCUACCUAUAAGACUGGGAUAACUUCGGGAAACCGGAGCUAAUACCGGAUAAUAUAUUGAACCGCAUGGUUCAAUAGUGAAAGACGGUUUUGCUGUCACUUAUAGAUGGAUCCGCGCCGCAUUAGCUAGUUGGUAAGGUAACGGCUUACCAAGGCGACGAUGCGUAGCCGACCUGAGAGGGUGACGGGCCAAACUGGAACUGAGACACGGUCCAGACACCUACGGGAGGCAGCAGUAGGGAAUCUUCCGCAAAGGGCGAAAGCCUGACGGAGCAACGCCGCGUGAGUGAUGAAGGUCUUCGGAUCGUAAAACUCUGUUAUUAGGGAAGAACAAAUGUGUAAGUAACUAUGCACGUCUUGACGGUACCUAAUCAGAAAGCCACGGCUAACUACGUG
This 497-nucleotide ribosomal RNA is filed under the name uncultured bacterium. RNAcentral describes it as "partial 16S ribosomal RNA". It matches the Rfam family "Bacterial small subunit ribosomal RNA", at positions 28 to 507 of the family's 1533-position model. The record is from RNAcentral.